ACUCAAGACCACAAAUUGGAGAUCCAUUUCAGAACAAAGUUUCGUCUUUUUAGUUUUUUGGUGUUUCAGAAACCCUAACCAGGGGGAGAUCUCCAGCUCCAACAUCUCAAGUUCCGCAUCCAGGAGCUAGGGCAAUGAACCACAUCAAAUCAUUGAGAGGUAUCAUGAUUACUAAGGAGGCAGUUAGGACAGUGGAGCAACGAACAUUUGCUACUGGGACUGGCAAAGCAAAAAAGGGUGCCAAAGGGGGGGCAGCAGCUGAUGCUCCAAAAUCAACACUUAACAAAGAAAUUAAAUCUACUACUGUAGUCGGUGCCAAUAUUCUCAAGGAUGGAGCAGAUCCCAAGAUCUUGCCUGAUUCUGAAUACCCUGAUUGGCUGUGGCAUCUGCUUGAUAAACGUCCUGCACUGAGUGCACUAAGAAGGGAAAAAAUUGAAACUCUCCCCUAUGAAGAUCUCAAACGCUUUGUCAAGUUGGACAACCGUGCAAGAAUCAAGGAAAAUAACUCUGUUAAGGCCAAGAAUUGACAUAAAGCAAUUUGUAAGGGGCAUUGUCUUUUACUCUUUGUUAAGUACAAGUGAUCUUAUUUGUCUAGGGUCCUUUAUGUGACUGAGUAGCAUUGUCAAAUGAUAAAUGGAAUUCCAAGGAAUACAGAAAUGUUUUGGUAUAUAUCUGUAGCUUCAGGUGCCAAUUUUUUUGAAGUAAACUCUU
Molecule: unclassified non-coding RNA, 711 nt
Filed under: Hevea brasiliensis (rubber tree)
Lineage: Eukaryota; Viridiplantae; Streptophyta; Magnoliopsida; Malpighiales; Euphorbiaceae
Source: RNAcentral